UUCAUAGUAGAAACAAGCCAAAAGAAAUUAACAUGCUAGUUAAAUAUUUAACUCUGCAGUAGUAGAAAGUAGACAUGGAUACAGAAAGCUAUAACUAAACACAUUGUAAAGAUGCUGAAGCUUAAAUUAGGACAUACUAGUUUAAAAGAAAACAAGUAGAAAAAGCAGUAGUCUUUUAAAAUCCAAAGUGCAAACAGGAAGGCAAAAUACUAUAAGUGUGAGUUAAGAAGAGAUUGUGAAGUUGUGAAUAUGAAAUGUAGGAUUGUUAAAUCGUGUCUUUGUGAGAAAAAAGGAUAAUGCCUUUCAUAUUGUAGAAAGAAAGCAGAAAUAAGGUAAGAAAUAAGUUAAAGAACUGACUGUCAAUCAAUUACACAAGGCUUCCCUUAAUUAAGGGAUUCAGUUCAAACAGGUAAACCAUUUAAGGAAAGGAAUAAAAAAAACACCUUGUGUAAAGCAUACAAUUGAGGGAAAAUACAUAAAGGUCAUUUAAGGACACGGUCUUGAUAGUACACGGUUUGUGCAAAUAAGUCAAGGGAAUCAAUUAACAGCCAGGCAAUAAGAGGUCAAAGAUUUGUUAUGAAUGAACCAAGUCAGAAAGGUGGAAAAGGUUUUAUCUUAAGGAAAAUCAACAAACAAUCAAUUAGACCUAUUUUAAAGGAAUUCCGAAUCAAUCACAAGUUUGAAAAUCCUUUUAAAGGGAG
Molecule: long non-coding RNA, 701 nt
Filed under: Nicotiana benthamiana
Lineage: Eukaryota; Viridiplantae; Streptophyta; Magnoliopsida; Solanales; Solanaceae
Description: long non-coding RNA (NBEN_LNC009071)
Source: RNAcentral